Molecule: ribosomal RNA, 475 nt
Filed under: unidentified nematode Sourhope farm
Lineage: Eukaryota; Metazoa; Nematoda
Description: SSU rRNA
Rfam family: Eukaryotic small subunit ribosomal RNA
Source: RNAcentral
UCUAAGUAUAACCUGCCAGACAGGGAAACUGCGUACGGCUCAUUACACCAGCCUUAAUUUACUUGACCUUGACAACCUACUUGGAUAACUGUGGUAAUUCUAGAGCUUAUACAUGCACCAAAGCUCCGAUCCUCGCGGAGAGGAGCGCAUUUGUUCGCCACAAAACCAAGCGCCCAUCUGGGCGUCCAGUGCUGAACCAGAACAACUCAGCUGAUCGCACGGUCUUGUACCGGCGACGUGUCUUUCAAGUGUCUGCCUUAUCAACUUUCGAUGGUAGUGUACCUGACUACCAUGGUUGUGACGGGUAACGGAGGAUAAGGGUUCGACUCCGGAGAAGGGGCCUGAGAAAUGGCCACUACGUCUAAGGAUGGCAGCAGGCGCGCAAAUUACCCACUCUCAACGCGAGGAGGUAGUGACGAGAAAUAACGAGACCGUUCUCAUACGAGGCCGGUUAUUGGAAUGGGUACAAUUUAAA